GGGCAAAGACACUUUGUGCUGCAGCGGUUAAGUUUGUUGGUGAGUUGCACUUCCGUGGGUGCUUAAGCGUGUAAUUCGAGGUCAUGUUGGGGGAAAUAUCACGGUGGCGUUUAGCUUUUCACGUUGUCAACAAAGGAGUCUUUGGCGGCGCGAGCCCUAACGAGGGUAGGACAAGACCUGCCAGUUCUAGUCUGGCUGCUGAUUGCUCCAUUUAGGAGGCUGCUCUUUAAAGAGGCUUCUCGUUUAUUCACUUGUUGUUUCUUUCUGAAUUGAAGUCGGGCUUGAUUGACGCUGAAAUAUCCCCGUCGCCAAUUAACUGGCUUGGAUUGAGGUUUUUUUUUUUUUUUUUUUUAAUCUCGGCCUUGUCAAGAGGAGGGCUUAAAAGUAGGCCAUGGCACAUCGCUUAGCAACGGGUCUCAUGCCUGGCGCCAAUACGCAACUGUCUUCUUCCUGUGGCAGCUCAACGUUUUCUCGUUUUAACUCAGCCGCCCAAAGCCACACCAGGACAAACAGGCAAAGUGAAAGAGACCAAUAAAAAAAGUGGCGACACUGUUACCGAUGCAUUUGACGUCACGCGGCACGCUACUUUUUAUGUCAACAAGACAAGCGUCAGAAGCGCCACUCGAAAAGGAACUCGAUAUCUAAUAGGAAGAGGCAACAUCACACAGCAAACAACGUGCAACAUGUAAGUACACACAUACAGUCCUACUACUACUACUACUACUAAGAGAGAAUAACGAACAACACAUCAAAAAAGGGACAAGCUCGCAAUCCUUCGAUACCCCAUGUGUGGACAAGGAGACUACAGCCAUCAAAGCACUUAACUCAUUAGAGCUAACACAAUCCAAUGAAAAGAUUCAACAGCGAUGCCAUCACUGCCACCGCUCAGCUAACAAAUGCCGCUCUCGUUGACGUCGCACUUCCCUAGGCAACAGGCCCGCACUCUGCUCUCAUGAAACGUCUCCUAACUCCAUAAGCCAGAUAUUUCAAGAUUUUUUUUCGAAGUAACGCAUUAAUUACUUUCCCUCGUAUUUGAUAACAUUUACUCAAGAGUAAUUCCAUGAGUAAUCCAAUUACCUUUUUGGGAAAGUAACAAGUAACUAUAAUUAGUUACUUUUUAAAAUAAAUAAUUUGCUGAAACCUGCUAGUUACGCAGAGUAAAACGCUUAAGCCAAGGCUGCGUGCAAGCAGAUGUUCAUUUAUAUUCUUAAAUUAUGUUUUUGUAUUAAAAAAUACCUAAUAUUUUAGCCUCCCUCCUGCUGUUAGAAUAAUUAUGUAUAUAUUAUCACACAACUCUUAUGCUUAAAGGCCGUUGCUAUAGUUAUUAUCAAUUGUGCUGAAGUUGUACUUUUCUAUCCGUGCAAAGGGACAACUUGCAAUCUUGGAUUGCGAGUCGUCUCGUAUCAGUGUUUGUGUCCAGACCCGGCCUGCUGACUGCCAAGGGCGGACAUCGAGUACCUUGACGCAGACAAAGCAGAGACACGGCGAUAUCACGAGUGUCAGCAUUUUUCCAUUUCUGAAUAAUCUUAUAUCGUGUCUAACUGGGGCCGCUGAAAUGACCCCCCCUUCCUGCAGAAGCAGCCUCAGUGAUGUAACCAGGGACCUCCCAAAUAAAUAGAGGAGCACGUGGGCUGUGCCUUAGGGCGUAGGUUGGAACUGUAACUGAGUGUACAG
This is a long non-coding RNA of Entelurus aequoreus (snake pipefish), 1674 nucleotides long. RefSeq lists it as uncharacterized. Lineage: Eukaryota; Metazoa; Chordata; Actinopteri; Syngnathiformes; Syngnathidae. The record is from RefSeq and is a predicted model, not a curated record. The transcript is spliced from 3 exons.